AAAACUCUACCGUGGUUUUGUUCUAUGAAAGUGUAAAUAUUUUACAAAAUAUAUAUAUAUUUUUGAGAAAAAAGCUUUAAAAUAUUGUAUUUAAUGAUGCAUUUUAGGGUCAACAAAUAUGUGUCGAGACAUAAUAUUAAAAAUUGUUCUUAAUUAAGGUAUAUCUUGAAUUUUGAAUGUGUAUACAUUUCUUUAGAUAUUGAAUAAUAAGAUAAGAAUUUGUUAAAAACGAUAUUUAAAAGUUCAAUAGUGAUCUAUCGUUUACCUACUAAAUUGACUUGAAUUUAUUUUACGUUACUUUUGAACCUAAUUAAGCUAAGUUGUAUGAGAUUAUUAAUCAAUUUUCUAUUAUGUUUAAGGUUUAACAUAGAUGCUAUAUAUUAAACUCACACGUGGUAGAGAUAACAACCUUUUAGGAAAAUAGUAUAUGAGAUUGUCCGCUAUGAAACAUAAUAAACCUUUGUGAUAUAUUACUUAUGGGUUUGGUUUUUUUGAUAUAGAAAACAGUCCCUCCCUAACUGCAUGCGUAUGAGUUGAUUUUUCGAUUGUGGAUUAUAAAACUUUGGUUUAAAUUUAAAAAUUUGUAAUUACGAGGAAGGAAAAGAAAAGAAAAGAAGUAAUUGAAAUGGGAGAGGAAGAGUUGAGAGAAUAAAAAAUGAGAGAAAGGGAAAGACAAUAAGAGGAAUAAAGUGAACAAAAAGAAGAAGAUGAGAACUCUUCACCGUCAAACAGAUUCCACAGAUGGAAUUUUCCCAACUAAAAUAAAGUAGAAAAAGGAUAUUAAUUUAUACUGUAUAUAUAUGUAAAAAAAUAAAUAAAUAAAAAGCAAGAAAAGAAUCUUCAUGAUCAGAUUAGGUUUAAAAUUGUGUUAAAAUUGAUACUAAUGCAGUAAUUUUAAAAAAUAAUUAUUACAGUAUAUGGGAUAUUGUGAAACUUUUAUAAAGAUUUAAUCCUGUUUUCUUUUUUCUUUUUAAAAAAUCUAGUAAGAAUAUUUUAGAUUUUUAUUUUUAAUGAGGAAAGAUCAAUCCCUACUAUUAAAUCAAGCCAUGUCACAAUUUUACCAUUAAUAUUCACUCACGUUUUUAAAAAAUGUAAAAAGUUCUAUAAACUCGUUGAUUUUUUUAAAAAAACAAAAAUCUAAGUUUUGAGAAAACAAUUAGAACUCAAAUUUAAAUAAAUGUAUAUGACUUUUUUUUUUAACCACUUCUCAAGAAAAGAAUAUUAGAGAGAAAAAUCAUAA
Molecule: long non-coding RNA, 1240 nt
Filed under: Cucumis sativus (cucumber)
Lineage: Eukaryota; Viridiplantae; Streptophyta; Magnoliopsida; Cucurbitales; Cucurbitaceae
Description: long non-coding RNA (CSAT_LNC002447)
Source: RNAcentral